Molecule: ribosomal RNA, 633 nt
Filed under: uncultured bacterium
Lineage: Bacteria
Description: bacterial SSU rRNA
Rfam family: Bacterial small subunit ribosomal RNA (bases 1-542)
Source: RNAcentral
CCUACGGGAGGCAGCAGUGGGGAAUUUUGGACAAUGGGCGAAAGCCUGAUCCAGCAAUGCCGCGUGAGUGAAGAAGGCCUUCGGGUUGUAAAGCUCUUUUGUCAGGGAAGAAACGGUGAGGGCUAAUAUCCCUUGCUAAUGACGGUACCUGAAGAAUAAGCACCGGCUAACUACGUGCCAGCAGCCGCGGUAAUACGUAGGGUGCAAGCGUUAAUCGGAAUUACUGGGCGUAAAGCGUGCGCAGGCGGUUUUGUAAGUCUGUCGUGAAAUCCCCGGGCUCAACCUGGGAAUUGCGAUGGAGACUGCAAGGCUAGAAUCUGGCAGAGGGGGGUAGAAUUCCACGUGUAGCAGUGAAAUGCGUAGAGAUGUGGAGGAACACCGAUGGCGAAGGCAGCCCCCUGGGUCAAGAUUGACGCUCAUGCACGAAAGCGUGGGGAGCAAACAGGAUUAGAUACCCUGGUAGUCCACGCCCUAAACGAUGUCUACUAGUUGUCGGGUUUUAAUUAACUUGGUAACGCAGCUAACGCGUGAAGUAGACCGCCUGGGGGAGGUACGGUCGCGAAGUAGUUAAACGUUAAAGUUAAAGUUAGUUACGGCGUGAGACGUUGCGACGGACGACGACGAGGGAGGAGG